AACAAAUCGAUGCGUAAGAGAAGUAAGCUUGCAUAAAGCGUCAUAGAGAGCUGGUGAUGGUGGAAUACCGGCACGUGGAAUCAAGCUGAAUGGACUUACAAGAGGUUUCCUGAACGUAUUAGUAGGGAAACACGGCACUCCGCCGUUACACGGAUAGGAUAUCGGAAUAGUGAUUGGAGACUAUUGCACGACUUGUCUUACAGGCAUGUCGGCACUACAGAAAAGUGUGCUCUAGCAGCUAUAGCAUUGCCUCACGGUCCCUAGUUUUCCCUUCCCAUUCCCGUAUCUGAAUCAAGAUGAAAAGAUAACUUCUUUUCAAAAGAGGUGGCACCGCGGUCGUCUAUCGUCCUCUAU
Molecule: non-coding RNA, 354 nt
Filed under: Virgibacillus pantothenticus
Lineage: Bacteria; Bacillati; Bacillota; Bacilli; Caryophanales; Bacillaceae
Description: T-box sequence
Rfam family: T-box leader
About the family: Uncharged tRNA acts as the effector for transcription antitermination of genes in the T-box leader family.
Source: RNAcentral